ACCUUUCAGUUUUACCGAAGAUGAAAUUUUCCAGAAUCCCAAAGAAGAUGAAUAAUGGAUCAGGAAUGGCUUGAACCUGUGUCAAAGUCAGAUAUUUGAUAUUAUUUAUCAACUUAGUUAGAAAUCCUAUCUUCAGAAGAACUCCUCCAUGGAGGUCAUUGAAAAACACAGUUUUUGCAUCAGAUGAAUAAGCUCCUUGAGGACAAACGCUGAAUCACCUUUACAUCUUUUGAGAAUCACAAAUUUUCUACAUAAGCACUUUAUAAAUAUUUGUCAGAUGGCUGAGCAAGCAUCAAAGAGAUACAUGUUAUGAAGAAUAAGAAUAAGAAAGAAAAAAGAACACAGAAAAAUAAAGUACAUAGUAGAAUAACCCAAGUUAAACAAAUACAUCUUGUUUCAAGUCAUGAAAAUCAAACAGCAAUCUAUUUAUCAUAGCGUAUGAGAAUUACAAAAAUUUCUUUAUUAAAUUCACAUUCUUUGGUCUUCUCAGUCUAGGCACAGUUAGCAGUAGUCUUGGGGGGUAGUAUAGAAUAAAAAGAAAAUAAUAUAAUUUCUAAGGUACCUUGACUCUAAACUGCAAAAUCUAUUGAUUACAACCUUGGACUUAUAAGUGGAAAUAGUAUAGUAGGAUAUCCUUCUGUGUCACUGAUAAAAUAGUUCUCUUAUUCUGAGUCACAAAAGUGCACUUCGUCCAAUAAAAUUCUGUAUUAUGUGGAAAAUAUUUCAUUACUUGAGACAAAUGCAAAAGGAAAAACAAAGUUUUAUCUGCCAGGACUUCAAAUACUUUGAGUCCUCCUCAAAUUUGUGAAUUUUGGUUGCAAAAGAAACACACACUAAUGUAGAAUCCCAUUGUUGCUCACCCUCAUUGCUUAUGGGGCCAUUAGUUAAAAAGUUAGAAGUCUUCUCACUCUGCAUUCUUCUCCAUAGUUACUAUGAAAACUUUUCUUCCCACUACUUACUAUGACCAUUUUCCUCUACAAAUUUACAAAGAAUAAACAAC
Fukomys damarensis (Damara mole-rat) is the source of this 1000-nucleotide long non-coding RNA. RefSeq lists it as uncharacterized. The record is from RefSeq and is a predicted model, not a curated record. The transcript has 3 exons. Lineage: Eukaryota; Metazoa; Chordata; Mammalia; Rodentia; Bathyergidae.